UCAGACGAUGCGUCAUGCAUAUCAAUAAGCGGAGGAAAAGAAACUAACAAGGAUUCCCUUAGUAACGGCGAGUGAAGCGGGAAGAGCUCAAAUUUGAAAUCUUCAAGGUUUUACCUUGACGAAUUGUAGUUUAAAGAAGUGUUUUCUGUUGAAGUUUUGGUAAAAGUUCUUUGAAUAGGACAUCAUAGAGGGUGAGAAUCCCGUAUUUGACCAUUAUUUUCAGCUGUGUGAUACACUUUCAAAGAGUCGGAUUGUUUGGGAAUGCAGUCCAAAAUGGGUGGUAAAUUUCAUCUAAAGCUAAAUAUUGGCGAGAGACCGAUAGCGAACAAGUACCGUGAGGGAAAGAUGAAAAGAACUUUGAAAAGAGAGUUAAACAGUACGUGAAAUUGUCAAAAGAGAAGCGUUUGACACCAGUGUUGUUUUCUCGAAAAUCAAUUAAAAAGAGUUAGAUUUUGUUGUGUAUUGACCUUAACAGCUUGCAUUUCAAUUUUCUUGCUUUUUUUAAUGCACUUUUCGUUUAACAAGUCAACAUCAGUUUCUUUUGUUGUAAAAGGGUCAUUGGAAGGUGGCUUUCUUUUCGGAGAAAGUGUUUAUAGCCUUUGGCCUCUGCAAUCGGAGAGACUGAGGUCUGCAGCGUAGACUCUUCGGGGUUAGAUACAUUUGUGCUAAGUUAUAGCUUUUUAUAGACAACUUGUUGACUAUAAUUAGUCUUGUAGCUUACUCGCUUACUGCUAUUUUACCUACGCUUAGGAUGUUGAGUCGUAGAGCACGCAG
RNAcentral lists this ribosomal RNA (774 nucleotides) under uncultured Neocallimastigales. RNAcentral describes it as "partial large subunit ribosomal RNA". It matches the Rfam family "Eukaryotic large subunit ribosomal RNA", at positions 18 to 605 of the family's 3401-position model. The record is from RNAcentral. Lineage: Eukaryota; Fungi; Neocallimastigomycota; Neocallimastigomycetes; Neocallimastigales.